CCUACGGGUGGCAGCAGUAGGGAAUAUUGGGCAAUGGGCGCAAGCCUGACCCAGCAACGCCGCGUGAAGGAAGAAGGCUUUCGGGUUGUAAACUUCUUUUGACAGGGAAGAGCAGAAGACGGUACCUGUCGAAUAAGCCACGGCUAACUACGUGCCAGCAGCCGCGGUAAUACGUAGGUGGCAAGCGUUGUCCGGCUUUACUGGGUGUAAAGGGUGCGCAGGCGGGCCUUUAAGCCGGCGGUGAAAUCGCGGGGCUCAACCCCGCCGAGCCGUCGGAACUGGGGGCCUUGAGUGCGGCGGAGGCAUGCGGAAUGCGCGGUGUAGCGGUGAAAUGCAUAGAUAUCGCGCAGAACCCCGAUUGCGAAGGCAGCGUGCCGUGCCGCCACUGACGCUGAGGCACGAAAGCGCGGGGAUCGAACAGGAUUAGAUACCCUUGUAGUC
Molecule: ribosomal RNA, 441 nt
Filed under: uncultured bacterium
Lineage: Bacteria
Description: partial 16S ribosomal RNA
Rfam family: Bacterial small subunit ribosomal RNA
Source: RNAcentral